AGUAACGGCGAGUGAACAGGGAACAAGCUCAAAGUUGGAAUCUAUCUGGCUUAGCCAGAUCGAAUUGUAAACUUUAGAGUCGUUGUCCAGACCAGCCGAGUAAAUAAGUUCCUUGGAAUAGGACAUCAUGGAGGGUGAGAAUCCCGUCUUUGGCUUGAGCAUUGGUCUUUUGUGAUGCGACUUCAACGAGUCAGGUUGUUUGGGAAUGCAGCCUUAAUUGGGUGGUAAAUCUCACCUAAAGCUAAAUAUUGGCGAGAGACCGAUAGCGAACAAGUACCGUGAGGGAAAGAUGAAAAGAACUUUGAAAAGAGAGUUAAACAGUAUGUGAAAUUGCUAAAAGGGAACCGUUUGAAGUCAGUCUGGCUGGUCUGCAAUCAGCUUCAAUCUUGGUUGGAGUGCACUUGUAGGCCAUUUUUUUGCCUGCCAACAACAGUUUGUUCUGCAGCAAAAAGGUGUUGAGAAUGUGGCUUUCUCUUCGGAGGAAGUGUUAUAGCUCUUCGCGAAAUACUGUGGUUCAGACUGAGGCUUGCAGUGAAUGCUAUUUGGGCUUUGGGGAUGGAUUGCUCAGUGCUUUGCUUGGUUAGUUUCGGCCGUCAAACGUCGUGCUGGCCAAGUGAAGUCUGACUCGGUUCAUUCACUUUUAAUUCACUUUGGUUG
Molecule: ribosomal RNA, 657 nt
Filed under: Apophysomyces trapeziformis
Lineage: Eukaryota; Fungi; Mucoromycota; Mucoromycetes; Mucorales; Mucoraceae
Description: eukaryotic LSU rRNA
Rfam family: Eukaryotic large subunit ribosomal RNA
Source: RNAcentral